Non-coding RNA from Triangularia verruculosa, 109 nucleotides. Lineage: Eukaryota; Fungi; Ascomycota; Sordariomycetes; Sordariales; Podosporaceae. The record is from the annotation of a GenBank genome assembly.
GGGAGCUUGGCUCAGUUGGAAGAGCGCAGGUCUCAUACUUGGUAGUAUGAUCUGAAUGUCUAACAUCAGAGUUAUCCUGAGGUCGUGAGUUCGAGCCUCACAGUUCCCA